AACGAACGCUGGCGGCAGGCCUAACACAUGCAAGUCGAAGGUGAAUCCGGACUUCGGUUCGGUGGAAACUGGCGCACGGGUGAGCAACGCGUGGGUAUCUACCAUGGGGUGGGGAAUAACCGUUGGAAACGGCGUCUAAUACCUCAUACGCCUUUAGAGGGAAAGCUCCGGCGCCCUAAGAGGAGCCCGCGUUGGAUUAGCUUGUUGGUGGGGUAACGGCCUACCAAGGCUACGAUCUAUAGCUGGUCUGAGAGGAUGAUCAGCCACACUGGGACUGAGAUACGGCCCAGACUCCUACGGGAGGCAGCAGUGGGGAAUAUUGGACAAUGGGCGCAAGCCUGAUCCAGCCAUGCCGCGUGAGUGAAGAAGGCCUUAGGGUUGUAAAGCUCUUUCACCUGCGAAGAUGAUGACGGUAGCAGGAGAAGAAGCCCCGGCUAACCCCGUGCCAGCAGCCGCGGUAAUACGGAGGGGGCUAGCGUUGCUCGGAAUUACUGGGCGUAAAGGGCGCGCAGGCGGAACAUAUAGUCAGGCGUGAAAGCCCCGGGCUUAACCUGGGAAGUGCGCUUGAUACUGAUGGUCUAGAGUCCGGGAGAGGGUGGUGGAAUUCCCAGUGUAGAGGUGAAAUUCGUAGAUAUUGGGAAGAACACCAGUGGCGAAGGCGGCCACCUGGACCGGUACUGACGCUGAGGCGCGAAAGCGUGGGGAGCAAACAGGAUUAGAUACCCUGGUAGUCCACGCCGUAAACGAUGUGUGCUAGACGUCGGGCAGCAUGCUGUUCGGUGUCGCAGCUAACGCAUUAAGCACACCGCCUGGGGAGUACGGCCGCAAGGUUAAAACUCAAAGGAAUUGACGGGGGCCCGCACAAGCGGUGGAGCAUGUGGUUUAAUUCGAUGCAACGCGAAGAACCUUACCAGCCCUUGACAUCCCGGUCGCGGAUUCCAGAGAUGGAUUCCUUCAGUUCGGCUGGACCGGUGACAGGUGCUGCAUGGCUGUCGUCAGCUCGUGUCGUGAGAUGUUGGGUUAAGUCCCGCAACGAGCGCAACCCUCAUCCUUAGUUGCCAGCGGUUCGGCCGGGCCUCUAGGGAAACUGCCGGUGACAAGCCGGAGGAAGGCGGGGAUGACGUCAAGUCCUCAUGGCCCUUAUGGGCUGGGCUACACACGUGCUACAAUGGCGGUGACAGUGGGAAGCAAGACCGCGAGGUGGAGCUAAUCCCCAAAAGCCGUCUCAGUUCGGAUUGUACUCUGCAACUCGAGUGCAUGAAGUUGGAAUCGCUAGUAAUCGUGGAUCAGCAUGCCACGGUGAAUACGUUCCCGGGCC
Molecule: ribosomal RNA, 1318 nt
Filed under: uncultured prokaryote
Description: partial 16S ribosomal RNA
Rfam family: Bacterial small subunit ribosomal RNA
Source: RNAcentral